Long non-coding RNA from Eleginops maclovinus (Patagonian blennie), 317 nucleotides. RefSeq lists it as uncharacterized. The transcript has 3 exons. Lineage: Eukaryota; Metazoa; Chordata; Actinopteri; Perciformes; Eleginopidae. The record is from RefSeq and is a predicted model, not a curated record.
AAAAGGCAGUUCGAUUACAACAGAAAAACGGACACUAUUUAUGGGGUGUCCGCUAACGGAAAUGCCGCCAAGCAGGCAAUGGUCCUGAUGACCAGGGGAAUCCUGGGGAAGUGGAAGCAGCCAAUUGGAUACUUCUUUUCCUCCAGCUCCAUGCUGUCGGAGGAGAUUGCAGACACCAUCAGGGGAGCCAUUCACCACCUGCAGGCUAUAGGCCUGACAGUUCAGGCAAUUGUGUGUGACCAAGCCACCACCAAUGUCCGGGCCUUACACCUGCUUGGGGCCACUCUAGACCCUCAGGGGGGGGGGGAUGACUCCCA